CGGAGGGGUUAGCGUUGUUCGGAAUGACUGGGCGUAAAAGCGCGCGUAGGCGGGCUGGAAAGUUGGGGGUGAAAUCCCGGGGCUCAACCCCGGAAUGGCCUUCAAACUACCCACGCCUAGAGUUCGAGAGAGGUGAGUGGAAUUCCGAGUGUAGAGGUGAAAUUCGUAGAUAUUCGGAGGAACACCAGUGGCGAAGGCGGCUCACUGGCUCGACACUGACGCUGAGGUGCGAAAGCGUGGGGAGCAAACAGGAUU
This 255-nucleotide ribosomal RNA is filed under the name uncultured bacterium. RNAcentral's name for it is "partial 16S ribosomal RNA". It matches the Rfam family "Bacterial small subunit ribosomal RNA", at positions 526 to 779 of the family's 1533-position model. The record is from RNAcentral.